RNAcentral lists this unclassified non-coding RNA (220 nucleotides) under soil metagenome. Its description in RNAcentral is "partial contains 5.8S ribosomal RNA, internal transcribed spacer 2, and large subunit ribosomal RNA". The record is from RNAcentral.
AAGACUAUAGACCUGCGGAGUACCUGCGGAAGGAUCAUUACAGAGAUCAUGCCCUCACGGGUAGACCUCCCACCCUGUGUUAUUUACGAUUGUUGCUUUGGCAGGUCGCCUUCGGGCACUCGGCUCUGGCUGAGGUGCACCUGCCAGAGGACCCCCAACUCUGUGUUUAGUGUUGUCUGAGUCUUAUUUAAUACGUUAAAACUUUCAGCAACGGAUCUCU